UAUCCACAUUGUGAACCAACAUAAUCGAGUUUCAAAAAUUUUUGCCUUUCGUCCACGUAGUAAUUAGGUGGCUUGUACGUAGCAGCUUUAUCUCUAUGUGAGUUGUUUUUUGCGGCCAUUGGUCAUUUAACACUUGUUUCUUUCUCAACAUUCCCUCCACAUGCAACUGGGGCUUAAAAUUAAAAAAAAAAAAAAUGCAACUGGGGCCCAUAUACACACCAUCUGAGUAUAUCGCUUAAACUAACAGAAUGGUUUCCACUUAAAUACCAAUAUUGGAGUAGUAUUCUCUUUGAGUUGCAUAUACAGAACCAAAACUUAAAUAUGUGGAAAGCUUCAGUGAGAGGAAAGUUAGCAGCUGCCUUAUAUUAAUUUCUUCAUCAAUCUGAAGCUAUCACCUUUGAGGGGAAUAUAGCAUCAAAUUGACAUUGUUCCGGGCUCUAAACUUCCAAAUCAAGCUACAUAUAGGAGCACCCCGGAAGCUACAACAAAGUUGCAAAAGCAAGUUGACGAUCUACUUAAGAUGGAGCUAGUGAGAGAAAGCUUAAGUCGUUGUGUCAUGCUCGUGAUCCUAGUGCCAAAGAAGGAUGGAAUUUGGCUAAUGUGUGUUGAUCAUAUAACUAUAACCAAAAUCAUACUAAAGUAUCGUCACCCUAUAACUAAGAUUAAUAGUUUACUUGAUAAGUCGAGUUGUUCUAAUCUCUUCAAAAAAUUGACUUGACAAGUGGAACCUCGUGAUGAGUGGAAAAUUGCCUUCAAAAUAAAAUUUGAUAUGUAUAAAAAGUUGGUGAUGUAUUUUUGACUUUGUAGUGUACCUUGCACUUUUAUUCGUCUUAUGAACCAUGUGAUGAAACUUUUUAUUGGCUAGUUUGUUAUUGUGCACCUUGAUGAUAUUUUGAUGUAUUCUAGAUCAAUUGCAGAA
Molecule: long non-coding RNA, 919 nt
Organism: Lycium barbarum (goji berry)
Lineage: Eukaryota; Viridiplantae; Streptophyta; Magnoliopsida; Solanales; Solanaceae
Exons: 2
Source: RefSeq, a predicted model, not a curated record